RNAcentral lists this long non-coding RNA (1105 nucleotides) under Malus domestica (apple). Its description in RNAcentral is "long non-coding RNA (MDOM_LNC020782)". Lineage: Eukaryota; Viridiplantae; Streptophyta; Magnoliopsida; Rosales; Rosaceae. The record is from RNAcentral.
CUCAAGGUCUUUUGUACCUUUCUUGGGUGCGAGGAGGCUCACUUCUCUUUAUCUCCUUUACUUUGGUUUUGGAGGAGAUCUUGAUAGGCGCGGAGGCGGUCUUGACGGGCGCAGUGCUUGUUGGAAAUGUGCCCUAAAACCAAUCAUAUGAUGAUACUUUACGGACAUUUCGCAUGUUAAACUAAUCUAGAUUAACUAUAAAGGGCAAAGAUUAUUGUUUGAGCCAUCUCAUAUAAAUGUUAUAUGCUUAAAUGAUAAAGUCCAAGGAAUAUGUGAUUGGAAGAAUGUAAUCUAAUGAAGUUAGAUUCAUGAGACCAUUCUUUCGUAGACACAUCCUAAAUGUUCCUGAUCAUAGGAUUGCCAAUUGGGCAUUGACAGUUCGUCAAGAUCGGUACGUGCUAUGUCUUCUCUCAGGGAGAGUGACUAGUCUCGAGUCAUUGGUGUGUGUGACAUCAAGACAAGUACGUAGGUGCUCAGUAGAGAAUGAGUUCACUAAACGUGAUCAACGAAGAGUUCUCAUACUCAUGUUGAUGCGAAAAUUACUUGACACACAAAUUAAACCCUCUUUUUGACAAUUGUAGUAUAGAUGUAAGUAGGGUAUCGUUCUAGGCCGGGGAUUAGGAGGGAUUGCUAAUCUAUUCUAAAUUAAUUUUAAAAUAUUAAAUAAGACUCAAGGACACAAAAUUAGGCUAAAAACUCUAAUAACUCGAAACACACUUAAAAUGACUCAAAAUAAUGAAAACAAUUAAAUUAAACACUAGGAACUGAAAUGGACGGAAAUUAAAUUAAAAGACUAACAAUAAAGAAAACUAACUAAAUAAUAUAAUUUAAUAAUGGAUGGGUGUUUGGUUUUGAUGAAAAGUAAAUUAAACUUAAUUAAAUUACAGAAUUGACAAAAAUAUGAAAUUAAGGUGAAAGAAUAGGUGACAGACUAGCUAGAGGGUUCUUCUCCACACAUGACACAUAUGCAACCUAAAUUAAUUUUCAGUUGUUCUUUCAAUAAAUUGUGAAUUUCAACACUUCAGAUUAAUCGUGAACAACACUUUUUUAAUCUUCAAGUUUUCCUUAAGUUAUUGAAUUGGACGGAAAAACGCAUACAACAAUU